CAUUUAAAAAUCACCAUAUGCACAGUAAGUUGCAGUUAGUAAUUAAAUUCUCACAUCUUUUCACAGCACCAGGCAGAGCAUAUUGGCUUAGUGUGGCCUGGUUGUCGAGUCUGAACCAAAAUGAUUUCUAACAGCAAUCAAAUACAUUUUGAGACAUGUUCAUAAAAACGCUAGCUCAGAGGCUCAAAGCAAUAAUGAUUCAUGUAUUAGCAAAUGAACCUGUCCUCUGCAAGCUAGCCCUGAAAUGUAAUAAGGGAUUGGUCCAAGGUAAGAAGAAAGUAUUUAUGGAGAUGCUGAGAGGUAAUAUUUUGUAAUGGGAGUUUUGGGUGACGUCUAUUCCUCAUCAGUGGAAUAGUUCUGGAUUGAGGUGUUGGAUCGGUCUCUGGAAGCCCUGUUCCAUCAUGGAUGCCUUGAUGAAAUCUGUAUCCACUGAGGGAUGUAGGAAAUGCAAUGGCCAGCAGUCUCCCUGUCACUCAGCAGUACCAGGAGAGGUUCUUCGGUCAGCACACAAACAAGGCUGGGAUGCAGGAAAGCAACUGAAAGCAGCCGUCCCAUCACCUCCUCUAAGGCAGUGCCACCAGCUGGGUGUGUGGGGACCCUAAGCAGCUUUCAGACAAAUAACCCAAAGACCUUCUGCUACAACUUCUGGGCAUGUCCAGAAGGGAUCAGGAACAGCAGAAAACCAACCAACCAACUUCCCCUGGGCCUGAGGUGUUCCCCGGGCUGGGCCUGCCCCCAUGAGUUCCUGUGCUCUGAAAGGGCCAGCAGCAGGGAGAAAACAACACAAGGGAAGCAGCCUAGAGAGAGAAUUGAUAAUGAUUCAGGUGCUUUAAUGGAGGCAGAAAAACCUUUUAAAAUAAGUACUUAUGCAGAAUCUCCAUUCUGUGAAUCAGAAAUGACACUUCAUUUUAUCCCACUGGUUUUAAUUCGUUGCUGGAGGCCGUUCAGCUAACCAGCAUGUAGCAAAUCAAGGGAUGAAGGGACCAGAGCACAGCUUCCAGGCUUCAGAGCUGUGCCCCUUCCAAGCACGAGGCACAAAAGCUGCUGAUCUGCUCCUGAGGAGCAGCUGUGACUGCACCACACCCUGCAGCUGCCGCCAUUUUCAAAAUCAAUUGCUCUCAGCUGGGCUGCCCAGGGCUGUAGGAGAGGCUGAAGCACAGGAGCACACCUCCUAGGGAGCACUCUGUGGCUGAAAAACCCACUUGAGAGCUCUUUCCUCACUCCGGAGGUGCCUUCUGAGCACGCAGCAAGGCAUUGUACUGAUUUCAUCCCACCACAGGUGAGCUUCUAGCAGGUGGGGGUUGGGGCUGCGUGAGGGAGGGCUCGUUGUGGUGGCCGCCAUGUUGCAGCACUGUUACCUCACAGGGAGUGAGGUUCUGGGUGCAGCUGCUGAAGAAGCUUCUGGAAGGAGAGUGAGAGGCAGCAGGAAGGAGGCUUCUCCUAAGGGGCUGGGAGGAGAAACACACACAGCCUGAAGGGAACUGAGCCUCUCUUUCUGCCUCAUGGCUGGCUUGUGUCUCUUAGACGGAGAUGCCGCUGUCAGGGUUCAGCCCACGGGAGUGUCGUACAGCCGCAAACAAGAGGAUGGACUCAAAGCGUCACUGCGCAGUGCGGCCACUGAGACUGUGGGGUGAAAGUGCGCUGGAUUGGAGAUGCUGGGAGAAAGCACAAGCAAUCCUUCAAGAUGAGAUAAGAGGGAUGGCAGUAACAGAAGAGCACAGCUGAAUCUCAAGAUCUCAAGCAAGGAUAGCAAGAGUCUGAGCAUUUAAAUAUGCCUUGGCCAUGCUGGAGCAUUCCAAGCAGUGUGUUCUUUGAGUUUGAUAACAUCUACAACUGGAAGAGCAGUGUUAAGGAACAAAGAAGGCCGUGACUGUUCCCGGGCAGCAGCUGGAGUGUGCAGGUAAGCGUGGCUGCAGCCAGCAGGGAUGGAAGCAUGCCCAGCGAAAGAGGACCAGCCUGAAAGUAAGUCUGAAAUAUAUUUAAGCAAAUCCUUGGGAAUUUUCCUCACUUUUUCAAAAAUACUAUCAAGAUUUGCCCUUCUUCUGAGGCUCUAGUUCAACGUUCUUACUGCACAUCACUCACCUGUACAAGGACAAAUCAGUCUUUCCACAGAGAACAGGUUCCCAGGUGCUGUGCUGUAGCCUGGAUGCUGAGCUCAGUGGGGCUCUGCUGAUUUCCACCGUUUUCCAGCACUAUUUAAACAGGGUGUCUCCAGUAGAGCACCUCCAAGGGUAUUUUCACAUGAGAACACCCCUUUCCCAGCGAACUAUCAGGGGGUAGCAUGAAUUAUUUUAAUGGCUACAUCACUUCAGCCAAAGCCUCCACCAUCUGCUAUAUGUUCUAAUUACAAAUGCAGAAAACACAAUUCGCAAUCAAAUCACAUUCAAAACAAAAAGAAAGAAAGAAAAUGAGCAAUUAAAAUGCACAUUCUGCCAGGCAAAUCCACCUCCUCAGCCAGUGCAUCCACCACAUCACUCGCCUGUUACAGACAGGGGCUGAAUUAGUCCCAGGCCAUUGGAGACUUCAGUCCUGCUGGUUUCCCUGACAGCAGCUUCCAGGCUUGAUCUUCUCAUCUUCCAGGGAUGCUGUGCAGCUCCAGCCUGCUGUUGUAUUUGUUGGUGUCUUGCUAACCCUCGGGGCGAUUUUUUUUCUGAGCGAUCAGUUUACUUUUCCAACAUUUAGACAUACCUUGUUGUUUCCUGCGCCCUGCCUCUUCUGGGGUUCUCACAGCUUAUGUGUCAAGAAAAACUUGAGUGUUUCAGAGCGAUAUGCAGGGAUUGAUGGUGACACAUUUGCCAGAAAACACCCCAGGCUGAAUUCAGCUUUGGUGCAGUGCUACUGCACUUAGCAAACUUAUCAUCCUCUCUGUAACAUUCAUUUUGAAAUGUGCGUUAACAUUCAGGCAUCGUUUAUACUCUGUAAGUAAUCCAACCCUACAGAGGGCUUUUCUCACAUGUUCAAAACUCAGAAGUCUGCUGGAAACACAGCCAUUAGGAAGGGCUGGAGCCUGGAGGGGUGCAUGGAGAGGGAGGCUUUCCUGGGAGCUGGGGAAGCAUGUGGCUGCUGUGCUUUGCCCCACGAGAUGGAGGACAGACAGCUCCGCCUGACAGACGCUGAUGGUUUUAGGCAGCCCAAAAGCACAUUGCGUCCAGCCCCGGGGAUCAGGGUCAGCACCCUGCGGCAGCUCAGAGCAGAGGGAAGAAACUUUUCCUGGCUAAUUCAAAGGAAAACUUUGCUCGAGGGAUUCAGAGCUCUGCCUCAGAAGCGCCUGCAGUCCCUUUUCAUACAGCACACUCCCACUCCUGUGUGGGUGGAGGAAAACUCCUCUGAGGCAGCGCUGCAGUCUCCCUCUGAUCUUCCUUUCCGCCUGUCCCUGCUCACAGCCUUUAAAGUCCCUCUUUGUGGCAAUAGCAGGUUCCAUGCUGGAGCUCAGGGGACGCUCAGCGGGCCGUUCCUGCUGUCCCCUGCCCAUAGCAGUGCUGUACAGCACAGCCAGCAUUCAGGGCAGCACUGAGGGCCUCAUGUACAUGCAGCUGACUCCUAUUGCAUCUUUUUGUCUUGAAAGUGUAUAUCAUCUUACCACAGGUUAAGAGCUCACAGCUAAACCUGACCCUACCUGCUCGGUGUCGGCACUCAGAGGCAAACACACAAAAGCUAAUUUUCACAUCUUCUGGUGCUUCAUUUGUAAAUCAUUUCUCAUUUUCCCUCCAAAUGCCUGCUCUGGUAACCUGCUUCUCAGAGCUGCUCUCUGAGAUCCUCACUGGCGAGGAGAGCACAAGGCGCCGAUACACCUCGGAAACGUUUCAAGGCUUCACAACAGCUUUACAAUAUCUCGCAGCAAAGGGGCAGAUGGGAUUCUGGAUUGAUCAAUACCCUAAGUAGAGGCAAGUGCCGGAUCACUGAUCUGAGCUGAAAGAAUAAAUGGUGAAUCAAAGGAAUACACAAGCACCGUCACUUCAGUAAGGCAAUAGCGGUGCCGUGUUCUGUGAGCUCUCUGCUUCCUGGAAUUGUGAGGUUCCUGUACCAUGAGCUCAGCAUGUUCCAGCAGGGAGGCAUUUCUCUCCCUGCACGAGCCCAGCUGCUGGGCCUAAGGAGCAGCCCCAGUCCUGCUUGUUGGUGGUAUUUUGUUUAAGCUAUUUGGGGAUUAUAAAAGCCAAACAAAGGAUGUGCAACAAGUUAUAAAUUCUAAGGAGAUCUUUCUAAGUGCCCAGCGGCAGCUGAACUGUACUUAUGGUUAUUGUGCAGAGACAGACAUAAAACUAUAAUGUGGAUCAACAUGUUUUAUCACAGUCAUUCGACAACACGCCGAGUCCAUGCAGUUUAGCUAUUACCUUUCUACAGCUCAGAAAGAUUUGCCAUAGUUUCAGCUUAAUCUGGAAUUUUAUUAUGUAGUUAUUUUAAUCUCACUUUGAUAAUGGCACUCCAAACACCAAUAAAACAAAGGAAGAUUGUAUUUAGAUACAGCAAUGAUGAAUAACGUUAGAAACACCUGAAGCUGAAACAGAAUCCAGCUGUCUGUUCUGUUUUGCUAUACUCCGUGGAAACCACCAAGAGAGCCUUUAUCAUGGAAUCAUAGAAUGCCCUGGGUUGAAAAGGACCUCAGAGAUCAUCGGGUUUCAACACCCCCACUGAGUGCAGAGUCGCCAACCACUAGACCAGGCUGCCC
Molecule: long non-coding RNA, 4666 nt
Organism: Numida meleagris (helmeted guineafowl)
Lineage: Eukaryota; Metazoa; Chordata; Aves; Galliformes; Numididae
Exons: 4
Source: RefSeq, a predicted model, not a curated record